AAUGGAGGAAACUCUGAUGCAGCGACGCCGCGUGAGUGAAGAAGUAAUUCGUUAUGUAAAGCUCUAUCAGCAGGGAAGAUAGUGACGGUACCUGACUAAGAAGCUCCGGCUAAAUACGUGCCAGCAGCCGCGGUAAUACGUAUGGAGCAAGCGUUAUCCGGAUUUACUGGGUGUAAAGGGAGUGUAGGUGGCAUCACAAGUCAGAAGUGAAAGCCCGGGGCUCAACCCCGGGACUGCUUUUGAAACUGUGGAGCUGGAGUGCAGGAGAGGCAAGUGGAAUUCCUAGUGUAGCGGUGAAAUGCGUAGAUAUUAGGAGGAACACCAGUGGCGAAGGCGGCUUGCUGGACUGUAACUGACACUGAGGCUCGAAAGCGUGGGGAGCAAA
Molecule: ribosomal RNA, 385 nt
Filed under: uncultured bacterium
Lineage: Bacteria
Description: bacterial SSU rRNA
Rfam family: Bacterial small subunit ribosomal RNA
Source: RNAcentral